RNAcentral lists this ribosomal RNA (500 nucleotides) under uncultured soil bacterium. RNAcentral describes it as "bacterial SSU rRNA". It matches the Rfam family "Bacterial small subunit ribosomal RNA", at positions 26 to 509 of the family's 1533-position model. The record is from RNAcentral.
AGAUUGAACGCUGGCGGCAGGCCUAACACAUGCAAGUCGAGCGGUAGAGAGGUGCUUGCAUCUCUUGAGAGCGGCGGACGGGUGAGUAAUGCCUAGGAAUCUGCCUAGUGGUGGGGGAUAACGUUCGGAAACGGACGCUAAUACCGCAUACGUCCUACGGGAGAAAGCGGGGGACCUUCGGGCCUCGCGCCAUUAGAUGAGCCUAGGUCGGAUUAGCUAGUUGGUGAGGUAAUGGCUCACCAAGGCGACGAUCCGUAACUGGUCUGAGAGGAUGAUCAGUCACACUGGAACUGAGACACGGUCCAGACUCCUACGGGAGCAGCAGUGGGGAAUAUUGGACAAUGGGCGAAAGCCUGAUCCAGCCAUGCCGCGUGUGUGAAGAGGUCUUCGGAUUGUAAAGCACGUUUUAAGGUUGGGAGGUAAAGGUUUGUAAACUUUAAGUACGUUAGACUAACUUUAGACCGUUAACCGACAGAAUAAGCACCGGCUAACUUCGUGCC